UACAGAGGGGGCAAGCGUUGUUCGGAAUUACUGGGCGUAAAGGGCGCGUAGGCGGCCUGUUAAGUCGAACGUGAAAUCCCUGGGCUCAACCCAGGAACUGCGUCCGAUACUGGCAGGCUUGAAUCCGGGAGAGGGAUGCGGAAUUCCAGGUGUAGCGGUGAAAUGCGCAGAUAUCAGGAGGAACACCGGUGGCGAAGGCGGGUCUCUGGGCCGAAACUGACGCUGAGGAGCGAAAGCGUGGGGAGCGAACAGG
Molecule: ribosomal RNA, 253 nt
Filed under: uncultured bacterium
Lineage: Bacteria
Description: partial 16S ribosomal RNA
Rfam family: Bacterial small subunit ribosomal RNA
Source: RNAcentral